This 72-nucleotide transfer RNA is filed under the name Angiostrongylus costaricensis. It matches the Rfam family "tRNA". Rfam says of the family: Transfer RNA (tRNA) molecules are approximately 80 nucleotides in length. Their secondary structure includes four short double-helical elements and three loops (D, anti-codon, and T loops). Lineage: Eukaryota; Metazoa; Nematoda; Chromadorea; Rhabditida; Metastrongylidae. The record is from Rfam by way of RNAcentral.
GCGGGUACUGCUCACGGCUAGAACGCUUGCUUUGCAUGCAGGAAGUCUGGGGUUCGAUUCCCCAUACCGCCA